AAAUUACAUCUUACAUACCAAACAUUACAUAUUCCAUAGAGAAAUCCAAGAGAAGAAAAAAAAUGGAAGUUGCUAAUGUUCUUCACAUGACUGAAGGAAUUGGAGACUCUAGUUAUGCAAAAAAUUCUCUGUUUCAGCAAAAGGUGAUCCUCGCAACAACAUCAAUAACAUACGAAGCUAUAUCUGCUCUGUACCACAGCCUUUCAACAUGGGAAACCAUAUGCAUUGCGGAGUUAGGUUGUUCCUCCGGACCUAACACUUACUUGCCGGUUUCCCAACUCAUUCAAACUAUUCGAGAAAAAUGUACAGAAAAUGGCCAAAAAUUGCCCGAAUUUCAUGUUUUUUUGAAUGAUCUUCCUGGCAAUGAUUUUAAUACCAUUUUUCGUUUGUUGCCAACAUUCUAUGAAGAUUUGAAAAAACAGAAUAUGAGAUCAGGAGAUGGAUUAUUUGAUCCUCCAAAUUGCUUUGUUGCGGCAGUUGCUGGUUCAUUCUAUACUAGACUUUUUCCUUCCAAAAAACUGCAUUUUGUUCACUCUUCUUACAGUCUUCACUGGCUUUCUCAGGUGCCUGAUGGAAUUGAGAAUAACAAAGGGACUAUUUAUGCAUCAAGUACAAGCCCAUCAAGCGUCCUCAAAGCAUAUUCCAAGCAAUAUAAAAGAGAUUUCGCGACUUUUCUCAAGUAUCGUUCAGAAGAAUUGGUGAAAGGUGGACGUAUGGUAUUAGCCAUGCCUGGUAAAGAAAAUGAGCAUCACUUAAGCAAUGUGUGUCGCUUUAUGUUGGAGCCUUUGGCCAUCGCGCUCAAAGACUUGGUUACAGAGGGAUCGAUAGAAGAAGAGAAAAUGGAUUCGUUCAACGUUCCAACGUACUCUCCAUCUCCUGCAGAAAUACAGUAUGUAGUUGAAAAGGAGGGAACAGAGUAUGGAUUCUAGUUGUGAAGGUUACAAUGAGGCACAGAGUGUAAGAGCUUUUGCUCAACCUUUACUUGUUAGUCAUUUUGGUGAUGAUAAUAAAUUGAUAGAUGUUGUGUUCAAUAAGUGUAGAGAAAUUUAUGCCAAUACUAUGGCCAAAGAGAAGAAUAUUUUCACAAAUGUUAUAGUCUCUUUGAUUAAGUCUUAAUAAAUCACUUGUCAUGUAAUAAUACUCGAGAUCAAAGAUAAUUAAUGAAGUAUUUGUGCAUUAAGGAUUUUUUUUCUA
Molecule: RNA transcript, 1194 nt
Organism: Solanum pennellii
Lineage: Eukaryota; Viridiplantae; Streptophyta; Magnoliopsida; Solanales; Solanaceae
Gene name: salicylate carboxymethyltransferase-like
Exons: 4
Source: RefSeq, a predicted model, not a curated record